UUCAUGAUUCACUCUGUCGUUGAGGCGCGGUUCCGUCACACCUAUGUAUUUUGUACAUAGUGCAGUGUAUUUAUAGUGCAAGCCAAGACAAUUACAAACUAAAAUGCUGUGUUGCAAGGGGCGGCAAACAACGAAUUCGCGGUAAGGAUUAAGCCGUGAAGAUGUACUUAUUUGGUAACGACGAAAUCGACAAGGAAACGGCGCGUGGAAAGACCGCCGACAAAAUGGAAAGGGUCCUCAGACGGCCCAGAUGACAACGCCUCACCGGAUUCGACAACCACAGACGAACUCGCCGAAAAACUUAAGGUAAGUUG
Molecule: long non-coding RNA, 314 nt
Organism: Macrobrachium nipponense
Lineage: Eukaryota; Metazoa; Arthropoda; Malacostraca; Decapoda; Palaemonidae
Exons: 4
Source: RefSeq, a predicted model, not a curated record